UACGUAGGGGGCAAGCGUUGUCCGGAUUUAUUGGGCGUAAAGAGCGUGUAGGCGGCCACACAGGUCUGCUGUGAAAACUCGAGGCUCAACCUCGAGCUGUCGGUGGAAACCGUGUGGCUAGAGUCCGGAAGAGGAGAGUGGAAUUCCCGGUGUAGCGGUGAAAUGCGCAGAUAUCGGGAAGAACACCCGUGGCGAAGGCGGCUCUCUGGGACGGUACUGACGCUGGGACGCGAAAGCGUGGGGAGCGAACAGG
RNAcentral lists this ribosomal RNA (253 nucleotides) under uncultured bacterium. RNAcentral describes it as "partial 16S ribosomal RNA". It matches the Rfam family "Bacterial small subunit ribosomal RNA", at positions 524 to 776 of the family's 1533-position model. The record is from RNAcentral.